Molecule: long non-coding RNA, 2697 nt
Filed under: Marmota monax (woodchuck)
Lineage: Eukaryota; Metazoa; Chordata; Mammalia; Rodentia; Sciuridae
Source: RNAcentral
CUUAGACAUACAGCAGUUCUUUAUUUGUCCAAAAUCUAAAACAGAAAGCCCAAAUUGGUAAAAUAGAAAAAAAAAAUCAAGUUUAUGUGAUAGAAAGAAAUCAGUGACAAUAAACCUUUGAUAGCUCAGACUUGCUUCUAGAUAUUUGUUUACUUAUUAUGUAUCACUUCAUUAGAUGAACAUUUUAAAGUAGCUUAUGAGACCACAUCUAAAACAAUUGAAAAAUAAAAAGUAAUAAAUAACAAGUGAGGGCUAGGGAAAAUAUUAGUAGAACUUGUCAGGUGCCCAGGAAAUCUUGUUGAAUGAAUGAUAGUAGAGAAUGAAUGAAUGAAUAAAAGGUCAAGGCCAGGGAGGAAAGUAGAAUGUAUAAAUUAAGCUGUUAUAAUAGCAGUUAAUCUUCAAGGACUAUUACCACAUGCUAAUAAGUGCUUUAUAUAUUUUAAGUCAUUUAAUUCCCAAACCAACCCCAUGAGACAAAUGCUAUGUGUGACCCCAUUUUACAGAUGGAAGACAAAAGGGCAAAGAAGUUAACGCAGCUUGCAGCUCACUUACGCUCACCCAGAUAGUGAAUGACUUGAGUCAGGAAUGAGCCCAGAGCCCCUGCCUCCUACUAUGGGGCUCUGCAGUAGGUUCCUAUGAGAGAGGAGAUAGCUACUGAAUCUGUGGUGACUUAACUUCAGCCAGCAAGAAACUAAGGACUAAUAUCUGGCUAGCAAUUGAUAGCUUAUAAAGGGCUUUUUACAUUUUCUCUCUCAGUUGAUCCUCACAGCCACCCUUACUAUAAAAAAGAGAAAGCCGGAAGUCAAGAGGAGUUAGCAGUCUUGUCCAAUAUCCCACUAAUUUAGAGCAAGGGUGAGGCCCAUUGCUCCUGCCUCUGGAUGCUGCACGUGGAGUCAAGAGCUGGUUUGUGGUCACAUUAUCAUGCUAGCUGACCAGGCCCUGAAUGAAAUACCUUCUGUGUCAUCCAGAGACAAUCAAAUUUCAAUUUUCUGAAAAAUUAAUAAUUUACACAUAGAUUUGCAACUAAAACAUCUUGUUACCCAGAUAAAACUUUAUUAUACUUUCAUAGUUUUCAAAAAUCAUGUAUUUGAUUUUCUUCAAAUGUUAGAGUCCAGGCAUGCCAUUGCUUUGGUAGGAAUAGGCGAGCAUUUCCAAAAGCAAAUCUCACUGAAAUGGUGCUGAAACUUACCAGGUAACUUCUUACUCAAAGGAACAAGGACUUUCACUUAGAGAUUUUAUUUUAUUAUUUAUGUAUAUAUGUAUCUAUUUUUUUUAGUUGUAGUUAGACACAAUACCUUUAUUUUAUUUACUUAUAUUUAUAUGGUGUUGAGGAUCAAAUCCAGCACCUUGCACAUGCUACAUUAGCACUCUACCACGGAGCCACAACCACAGCCCUAUGUAUCUAUUUUUGAUGCUGAAAAUUGAAUGCAGAGCGUCUUACACAUGCUAACAACUGAACUAGACCCCCAGCCCCACUCAAAGGUUUUUAAAUACUCUAAAAAUAUACAGGGAAGAGUAAAGAAUGUGUGUGAGAAGAAAGUGGGGCACUGACCAGAGUGGGUGAAGCUGGUGGAAAUGGGAGCCCCCUAAGCUGGGCAUGAGGCACAUGCCUGUAAAUCUAGCAAUUCAGGAGGUUGAGGCAUGAGAAUCUCAAGUUUAAGGCCAGCCUCAGCAACUUAUUGAGGCCCUGAGGCCCUCAGCAACUUAGCAAGACCUUGUCUCAAAAAUAUAAAGGGCUGGGGACAUAGCUCAGUGGUACAGUGUCCCUGGGUUCAAUUCCCAGUACCAAAACAAAACAAAAAAGACCCUGCUGGGUGCUCUCCUGUGGGCUUUUGAUGAGAGCAGCAUUGUUGGGAAGCUCAAAGUUGGGCUGUCAGUCAUCCUGCCUGUGUGACCUUGGUCUCGUCUGAAUCCUUUUCCCUCCUCUGUAAAAUGCUGGCCUACUAAACCCAAUAUUUAUGAUUCUGUGAUUAUAACACCUCAAAACAUCAUUCUUUUGUUCUUUACAAAGUGGUUAUAGAUGCAGUCUUUAACCAAGACACCUGGGUUUAAAUGACCCCUAAAACAGCCCUACCUAUUUUAUUGCUAUUGCUUCUUUUAAACUAUUAAAGUGUGCUCUGAAUGAAUUCUUUCUUCUUCCUCUUCUCCCCCUUCCUCUGAAUCUUUAUAGAAUAGCCCAUUGUGCCCAAGUUUUCUCUUAUGAUUUUCCACCAAUCUUAGAAUUAUGUAUACCUCUGAGCGAUGCUAAAUGGGACCCUUGAUUACAAUAACGGUUGCUCUUUUCCACCCUCACCCGGCCCUGCUCACAGUCCUGCUGUGAUGUAACUUUGAUUUCAUGCCUUUGAAGGGUGGCUAACGCCACAAAGAUUGCUUUGUACGAGACCCCAACUGGCUGGAAGUUUUUUGGGAAUUUGAUGGAUGCAAGCAAACUGUCCCUUUGUGGGGAGGAGAGCUUCGGCACUGGUAAGUUGCAGUCCUGUGCUAGCAUUUUCUUCCCCACAACUGCCACCUCCAGUGAAAGUUUAGACUGCUAGGACAGCCCUGAAAUAGCAACAGUAGCUGAUGUGUCCUAAAUCAAGAAGCAAUUUAUUUAUAACAGCCUGAUGGAGUAUACACAUUGGAAAAGCGGUGAGCACAUUCCUGCAGGACGGCUAAUUUUACUUUCAGAGGAUCAUGUCCACUGAGACAGGAAGUUUG